This 371-nucleotide long non-coding RNA is filed under the name Ananas comosus (pineapple). RNAcentral describes it as "long non-coding RNA (ACOM_LNC036372)". Lineage: Eukaryota; Viridiplantae; Streptophyta; Magnoliopsida; Poales; Bromeliaceae. The record is from RNAcentral.
CCAUCCCGCCGGAUCGCUCCGCCGAGCUCGCUCCUCACCAUCCUGCUGCUGCCGCUUAUUAUUGGAACAAAUACCACGUAGGAAUCUGAUUGUGAUUAGAAUCUAACUAAUUGGUAAUGAUGAUAAAAUCAAACAAACUUACAGAUGAUCGCUAAAUCCAAAUAAAUACUUAAUUGAUCCGGAAGCGUGCGAGGUACUGCCCUAAGGUGUAUUCCCGUCCUUAUGUGCGGGAUUAACCGGAAACACCGCCCAAAGUACGACCGGAACUCCUCCUCCUAUAAGCACGAUCGCGGAAGAGGUUGACGGAGACUCUUUCAACACCCGAUGAUAAAAAGAUCGAAUGAACUGAAUGAAAAUACUAAAUAAUUUAA